Molecule: long non-coding RNA, 546 nt
Organism: Heterocephalus glaber (naked mole-rat)
Lineage: Eukaryota; Metazoa; Chordata; Mammalia; Rodentia; Bathyergidae
Source: Ensembl
GCAAAAAGGAGGGAGAGGGAGGCAGGAUGCUCUCUGGCACUCUCAUAUAUUAGGUCUCUGCAAAGACAGAAGGCUGUAGAGGCAGCCUCAGCCAGCCUUUGGGCAGUGAUUCUAACUAGUGCCCCCGAACACGGUGGUCAGGACGACUUUGAAGAGGCAAUUCAUUACUUAUGCAUAGAACGCUCUAGCUCUGCUAAACCAAGAGCGCAAACGCCCCCUUGUUCUCUACUGUAGAGACUUGCAUCUUUUUGGUACUCAACAUUCUCAAGAUACUCUGCUACUACAGUUGAGUCUCUACUAUCGACUGGAAAGACACAUACAUGCAGGGACUGUCAAGACUUCACGUCUCACUAUCAAAACUGAACUGGGAUUGAACCCAUGAUGUCAUACAUGCUAAUGAAGCAUUCUACCACUAUUCCAACUCUCAGGAAAUCAAGAAAAUGUCCUUCAUGAUUCUACCAUGAUAUUGACUACUACUGAAUUUUCACCUUACUAUUGUCUGCAUAUUUAAGAAUUAGUGAUGAACAUGGCAAAUGGUCAAUGAGC